This 253-nucleotide ribosomal RNA is filed under the name uncultured bacterium. RNAcentral's name for it is "partial 16S ribosomal RNA". It matches the Rfam family "Bacterial small subunit ribosomal RNA", at positions 524 to 776 of the family's 1533-position model. The record is from RNAcentral.
UACAGAGGUCUCAAGCGUUGUUCGGAUUCAUUGGGCGUAAAGGGUGCGUAGGUGGCGCGCUAAGUCAGGUGUGAAAUUUCGGAGCUUAACUCCGAAACUGCAUUUGAUACUGGCGUGCUUGAGGACUGGAGAGGAGACUGGAAUUCAUGGUGUAGCAGUGAAAUGCGUAGAUAUCGUAAGGAAGACCAGUGGCGAAGGCGGAUCUCUGGGCCAUUACUGACGCUGAGGAGCGAAAGCGUGGGGAGCGAACAGG